UACGUAGGGUGCAAGCGUUGUCCGGAAUUAUUGGGCGUAAAGAGCUCGUAGGCGGUCUGUCGCGUCGGCUGUGAAAACCCGGGGCUCAACCCCGGGCCUGCAGUCGAUACGGGCAGACUAGAGUGCGGUAGGGGAGACUGGAAUUCCUGGUGUAGCGGUGAAAUGCGCAGAUAUCAGGAGGAACACCGGUGGCGAAGGCGGGUCUCUGGGCCGUAACUUACGCUGAGGAGCGAAAGCGUGGGGAGCGAACAGG
This 253-nucleotide ribosomal RNA is filed under the name uncultured bacterium. Its description in RNAcentral is "partial 16S ribosomal RNA". It matches the Rfam family "Bacterial small subunit ribosomal RNA", at positions 524 to 776 of the family's 1533-position model. The record is from RNAcentral.